UGUCCCGACCUUGAGAGCGCCCGCUGGACACCAGAGCCUCCCGUCGUGCAACCACUCCUUUUCGCCCACCCAAGGCCCGAUCGGCCCUGCCUCUGGGACUACGACUCCUCCCGUUCCUACCAGAGGCCCGCCCCCGUGUAACCAGCCUGGGGGCCAUGACACUCUCCCCCCCUGAACUACUAGAUGAGGACCUAACACGCCGAGCC
Molecule: non-coding RNA, 206 nt
Organism: Pelobates cultripes (western spadefoot toad)
Lineage: Eukaryota; Metazoa; Chordata; Amphibia; Anura; Pelobatidae
Source: the annotation of a GenBank genome assembly